This 192-nucleotide ribosomal RNA is filed under the name Escherichia coli. Its description in RNAcentral is "partial 23S ribosomal RNA". It matches the Rfam family "Bacterial large subunit ribosomal RNA", at positions 2756 to 2925 of the family's 2925-position model. Lineage: Bacteria; Pseudomonadati; Pseudomonadota; Gammaproteobacteria; Enterobacterales; Enterobacteriaceae. The record is from RNAcentral.
CGGAAGAGAUAAGUGCUGAAAGCAUCUAAGCACGAAACUUGCCCCGAGAUGAGUUCUCCCUGACUCCUUGAGAGUCCUGAAGGAACGUUGAAGACGACGACGUUGAUAGGCCGGGUGUGUAAGCGCAGCGAUGCGUUGAGCUAACCGGUACUAAUGAACCGUGAGGCUUAACCUUACAACGCCGAAGCUGUU